CGCGGGCCGGUGCAGCUGCCGGGCGGAGAGCGGCCCUGCCUCUCUGUGCGGGAGAAAGGCAUCCAUCCCUCCCUCCCUCCUUCCUGCCGUCCCUGCCCCUCUCCCUCUCUCCCUCCAUCCCCGGCGGUUUCGGUGACGGCAGCGGCUCCAUCCCGGCGCGGUUCGCGUCCCCUCCGAUCCGCCGUGGCUCGGAGCCCGCACGGCACGCACCGCCCGGCGCUCGGGGCAGCGGCGACUUCUCCCCCGGGUUCCGACUCGGCUCAGAAGGAGGAAAUGCAUUUUUCACAGGUUUUUCUGAGCCGACACACCGUGAUCUGCACAGCGGCCCUCGCUCAGGCUUAGCACUCCAGCACUGUAAGAUGCAAUUCUAUUAUAUACCGCAAAUAAAUCUGCUUUAAGUAAUGCAAAUCUAACUGUAACUGAUGCUUUCUAAGUCUGCCUCCUGCAACCUGAUGUUCGUGUACCCCCUUAGCACCAACAUAAAACACACAUUUGGACGCCAGCUUGCUAAUUAGUCCAACAUGUUUUGCUCUGCUUUUUGUAAGAGUGUCCUGUGAGUGUCGUAGCUGAGGUCAGAGCUGCAUCAAGCAGCUUUCCUGACAGCUAAUAGCGCUACAUUAUGACACCUUUGACUCAAGAUGUUUUGCCGGGUUUAGGAAGCAGCGUUCUUUAUUUGUUUCUCUCCUCCAUCCGCGAGGGCUGCAGGGAGGUUUCGCGGACUCUGCGAGCUCGCUGCCGCCGCUGGCCCCGGGGGGAGCUGCGUGCGGAGAGGGGCGCAGGGGAAGCUCGACUGAGCCUUCAGGAGGCUCCGUGAUCCCGAGGGAAACCCCGGGAAUCGCUCAGAGCCCAUUGCGGACGCUGCUGGGGAGCGCGGGCUCCGGGGCGCCUGGGCUGGGUGCCUGGCGGCGCUCCGGGCGGGCUGAGGCCACACGGAAACACCGCUUUACCAUUCAAAGCCAGUGUCAGAGAAGCUGGCUUUUACAUUUUACCCUGUUCCUGCUCUAGUUUAUGUUGGCAGGGCUUGCCAAAAGGUUUUUAUUGCCCGCUGACGUGAGCUUAACAAUGCGAGCUCCCCACCUCCGACCGGAGGGAUGAUAAAUUAAUUGCCCUCACACCUGCAUGGGCUUUUUUUUCCCCCUCAGUUUGAUGUUACAGACAGUUCUGUACUAAGUACGAGGUAUGGUGCAAUGCCAGGGACAACCUAUGCUAAAUUACAAACAAAUCCACCCACACAUUACUAGAGAGUAACUACAAUAAAGGCUGAAAAGCAAGUUUUAGCAAUUGGAUUAAAGCCAAUUAAUUCCUGGCACGAAUUGAAGCUAUAGAUCAAAACAGGAAGGAUUCGAUCCAGAACAUGAAGAAAAGGUGAAAAGCUGCACGUGCCCCACAUCGCAGGAAGUUCACAUUCAAGUCACAGCUAAAGUUUCUGUUUGCCUUCUCACAGCCUCUCUGAGCCAUUCGAGGUGGGUUUUAUCCUCUCAACGAGUGAGAGACAAAUUAGGGAGCUGAUUAUUUUACUCCUUAUAGUGCCCGGUGAUAACACCUCCCUCCAGAAGUUGUUCGUUUGGUUUUUUUAUUUUUUCUGCUGAUUCUGGAGCCGACUGGGACAAAUCUCUCUGUUUUAGGUGGAGUAUCUUUAUCACUCAUUAGAGGAAAUGAUCAGGAUUAACGAACUGCUUUCUGCAAAGACUUUUGGCAGACCUGCAUGGUAGAGGAAGUUUGAUGGCAUUUUCUGGCCAGGCAGCUUUACUUGCAGGAGGCCUGCAGCACUCUAGCUACACUUUACCUAAUUAUUUUUGCUAUGUGGCAUGAUUAACAGAAGGUUGAAAUUUUAUUCUGAACUGUAAACCAACAAAAAAAAAAGUGUGAGACUGUUGUAAUAUUUUCAGGUCAAAUUCUGGACUAAGUUAGCAACAAGUACCACCACCAAAGCCUGUGGAUUUUAGGCAGUAAUUAGUCACAAAGUAAGUAAUUUAUAAGCCAUCUGACUGAAUAAUCUAAGUUUUACAUAUAGAUUCCUUCUUUAUGCAGAAAAGCAACUGUAUUUGAAUAAAUAGAUGCUACUUGCAUACA
Cyanistes caeruleus (blue tit) is the source of this 2073-nucleotide non-coding RNA. The record is from RefSeq and is a predicted model, not a curated record. Lineage: Eukaryota; Metazoa; Chordata; Aves; Passeriformes; Paridae.